This 104-nucleotide ribosomal RNA is filed under the name uncultured bacterium. RNAcentral's name for it is "partial 16S ribosomal RNA". It matches the Rfam family "Bacterial small subunit ribosomal RNA", at positions 1379 to 1482 of the family's 1533-position model. The record is from RNAcentral.
CCUUGUACACACCGCCCGUCACACCAUGGGAGCUGGUUUUACCCGAAGCCGGUGCGCUAACCGCAAGGAGGCAGCCGACCACGGUAAGGUCAGCGACUGGGGUG